Molecule: ribosomal RNA, 505 nt
Filed under: uncultured bacterium
Lineage: Bacteria
Description: partial 16S ribosomal RNA
Rfam family: Bacterial small subunit ribosomal RNA
Source: RNAcentral
GACGAACGCUGGCGGCGUGCCUAAUACAUGCAAGUAGAACGCACAGUUUAUACCGUAGCUUGCUACACCAUAGACUGUGAGUUGCGAACGGGUGAGUAACGCGUAGGUAACCUGCCUGGUAGCGGGGGAUAACUAUUGGAAACGAUAGCUAAUACCGCAUAAUAUUGAUUAUUGCAUGAUAAUUGAUUGAAAGAUGCUAUUGCAUCACUACCAGAUGGACCUGCGUUGUAUUAGCUAGUAGGUGAGGUAACGGCUCACCUAGGCGACGAUACAUAGCCGACCUGAGAGGGUGAUCGGCCACACUGGGACUGGGACACGGCCCAGACUCCUACGGGAGGCAGCAGUAGGGGAUCUUCGGCAAUGGACGAAAGUCUGACCGAGCAACGCCGCGUGAGUGAAGAAGGUUUUCGGAUCGUAAAGCUCUGUUGUAAGAGAAGAACGGGUGUGAGAGUGGAAAGUUCACACUGUGACGGUAUCUUACCAGAAAGGGACGGCUAACUACGUG